AGAGUUUGAUCCUGGCUCAGAGUGAACGCUGGCGGCAGGCCUAACACAUGCAAGUCGAACGAAAAGGUCUCUUCGGAGUUACUCGAGUGGCGGACGGGUGAGUAACACGUGGGUGAUCUGCCCUGCACUUCGGGAUAAGCCUGGGAAACUGGGUCUAAUACCGGAUAGGACCACGGGAUGCAUGUCUUGUGGUGGAAAGCGCUUUAGCGGUGUGGGAUGAGCUCGCGGCCUAUCAGCUAGUUGGUGAGGUAAUGGCUCACCAAGGCGUCGACGGGUAGCCGGCCUGAGAGGGUGACCGGCCACACUGGGACUGAGACACGGCCCAGACUCCUACGGGAGGCAGCAGUGGGGAAUCUUGCGCAAUGGGCGAAAGCCUGACGCAGCAAUGCCGCGUGAGGGAUGACGGCCUUCGGGUUGUAAACCUCUUUUAGCAGGGAAGAAGGUCCGGGUUCUCUCGAAGUGACGGUACCUGCAGAAAAAGCCCCGGCUAACUUCGUGCCAGCAGCCGCGGUAAUACGAAGGGCGCAAGCGUUACUCGGAAUUAUUGGGCGUAAAGAGCUCGUAGGCGGUUUGUCGCGUUGCUCGUGAAAACCCGAGGCUCAACCUCGGGCCUGCAGUGGGUACGGGCAAACUAGAGUGCGGUAGGGGAGAUUGGAAUUCCUGGUGUAGCGGUGGAAUGCGCAGAUAUCAGGAGGAACACCGAUGGCGAAGGCAGAUCUCUGGGCCGUAACUGACGCUGAGGCGCGAAAGGGUGGGGAGCAAACAGGCUUAGAUACCCUGGUAGUCCACCCCGUAAACGAUGAUAGCUAGUUGUGGGUUUCAUGCAACCAAUUCGGUGACGAAGCUAACGCAUUAAGCUAUCCGCCUGGGGAGUACGGUCGCAAGAUUAAAACUCAAAGGAAUUGACGGGGACCCGCACAAGCGGUGGAGCAUGCGGUUUAAUUCGAAGCAACGCGCAGAACCUUACCAGGGUUUGACAUGCACAGGACGCGUCUAGAGAUAGGCGUUCCCUUGUGGCCUGUGUGCAGGUGCUGCAUGGUUGUCGUCAGCUCGUGUCGUGAGAUGUUGGGUUAAGUCCCGCAACGAGCGCAACCCUCGUUCUAUGUUGCCAGCACGUAAUGGUGGGAACUCAUGGGAUACUGCCGGGGUCAACUCGGAGGAAGGUGGGGAUGACGUCAAAUCCUCAUGGCCCUUAUGUCUUGGGCUUCACGCAUGCUACAAUGGCCGGUACAAAGGGCUGCAAUACCGCAAGGUGGAGCGAAUCCCAAAAAGCCGGUCCCAGUUCGGAUUGAGGUCUGCAACUCGACCUCAUGAAGUUGGAAUCGCUAGUAAUCGCGGAUCAGCAAUGCCGCGGUGAAUACGUUCCCGGGUCUUGUACACACCGCCCGUCAAGUCAUGAAAGUCGGUAACACCUGAAGCCGGUGGCCCAACCCUUGGGAGGGAGCCGUCGAAGGUGGGAUCGGUAAUUAGGACUAAGUCGUAACAAGGUAGCCGUAGGGGAACCUGCGGCUG
RNAcentral lists this ribosomal RNA (1512 nucleotides) under Mycobacterium tuberculosis. RNAcentral describes it as "bacterial SSU rRNA". It matches the Rfam family "Bacterial small subunit ribosomal RNA". The record is from RNAcentral. Lineage: Bacteria; Bacillati; Actinomycetota; Actinomycetes; Mycobacteriales; Mycobacteriaceae.